Molecule: non-coding RNA, 422 nt
Organism: Paramuricea clavata
Lineage: Eukaryota; Metazoa; Cnidaria; Anthozoa; Malacalcyonacea; Plexauridae
Source: the annotation of a GenBank genome assembly
CGAUAAGUUUAACAUUGUUGCUGGCGCCAUCAGCAGGCUCUCCUCGGCCACGGAUCACUCGUGUAGACGAUUCUUGAAUUGGAUGGAAAUAAAAUCUGAUGGAAUUAAUAUGCAAAGCAAAACCUUCGUCAGAAAACAGUAACAGAAACGUGCAUCAUUGGAUCCCGUGCCCAGCGCAAAUUUCGAGACUAAGAGAGUGGCACGUACGCAAACAACAUGCGAACAAAGAAACGAUAUUCAUUUUGAUGGAGUAGUAGAAAUCAAAUAUUACGUAGAACAAACAGAAUCACUAAAAACUGCAGCAAUCAGUCCAUAAUGACAUUGUAUAUAAAACUUAUAAACCUUGACGUCAAACCAAUUGAAGUUGCGCGUUUAUAUGUUAUUUGUAGCCACGAUAAAUUAAAAUAAAUGGAACUUGGCAA